This 900-nucleotide ribosomal RNA is filed under the name bacterium enrichment culture clone L55B-102. Its description in RNAcentral is "bacterial SSU rRNA". It matches the Rfam family "Bacterial small subunit ribosomal RNA", at positions 8 to 916 of the family's 1533-position model. The record is from RNAcentral.
AGAGUUUGAUCCUGGCUCAGGACGAACGCUGGCGGCGUGCCUAACACAUGCAAGUCGAGCGGUCUCGCCUAUAGCAAAAGGCCUUCGGGCUUCGAGCAAAGGCGAGAUAGCGGCGGACGGGUGAGUAACGCGUGGCUUAUCUGUCCCAGGGAGGGGGAUAACGUCUGGAAACGGGCGCUAAUACCCCAUAUGCCGGUGAGGUAAAAAGGAGAAAUCCGCCCUGGGGUGAGGCCGCGUCCUAUCAGCUAGUUGGUGAGGUAACGGCCCACCAAGGCUAUGACGGGUAGCCGGCCUGAGAGGGCGGCUGGCCACACUGGGAUUGAGAUACGGCCCAGACUCCUACGGGAGGCAGCAGUGGGGAAUAUUGGGCAAUGGGGGAAACCCUGACCCAGCGACGCCGCGUGGAGGAAGGAGCCCUUCGGGGUGUAAACUCCUGUUGUAAGGGAAGAAGACAGUGACGGUACCUUACGAGGAAGCCCCGGCAAACUACGUGCCAGCAGCCGCGGUAACACGUAGGGGGCGAGCGUUGUCCGGAAUCACUGGGUGUAAAGCGCACGCAGGCGGAUGCGCGCGUCGGCUGUGAAAUGCACCGGCUCAACCGGUGCACUGCGGUCGAUACGGCGCGUCUGGAGUGCGGGAGAGGGAAGCGGAAUUCCCGGUGUAGCGGUGAAAUGCGUAGAUAUCGGGAGGAACGCCGGUGGCGAAGGCGGCUUCCUGGCCCGCAACUGACGCUCAUGUGCGAAAGCCAGGGGAGCGAACCGGAUUAGAUACCCGGGUAGUCCUGGCCGUAAACGAUGGACGCUAGGUGUGGGCGGUUUAUCCGUCUGUGCCGAAGUUAACGCGUUAAGCGUCCCGCCUGGGGAGUACGAUCGCAAGGUUGAAACUCAAAUGAAUUGACGG